GAUGAACGCUAGCGGGAGGCUUAACACAUGCAAGUCGAGCGGGAAGGGUAGCAAUACCCUGAGAGCGGCGCACGGGUGCGUAACGCGUAUGCAACCUGCCUUAUACAGGGGGAUAGCCCAUGGAAACGUGGAUUAAUAUCCCAUAGGAUUACGGAGUCGCAUGAUUUUGUGAUUAAAACUACGGUGGUAUAAGAUGGGCAUGCGUCUGAUUAGUUAGUUGGUAGGGUAACGGCCUAACAAGCCGACGAUCAGUAGGUGUUCUGAGAGGAUUACCCACCACACUGGUACUGAGACACGGAACAGACUCCUACGGGAGGCAGCAGUGAGGAAGAUUGGUCAAUGGGCGAGAGCCUGAACCAGCCAUCCCGCGUGAAGGAUGACGGCCCUAUGGGUUGUAAACUGCUUUUCUGCUCCAAGAAACCUGAUUACGUGUAAUCAGUUGACGGUAGAGUAGGAAUAAGCAUCGGCUAACUCCGUGCCAGCCGCCGCCGUAAUAC
RNAcentral lists this ribosomal RNA (497 nucleotides) under uncultured bacterium. RNAcentral describes it as "bacterial SSU rRNA". It matches the Rfam family "Bacterial small subunit ribosomal RNA", at positions 28 to 526 of the family's 1533-position model. The record is from RNAcentral.